AUUGAACGCUGGCGGCAGGCCUAACACAUGCAAGUCGAGCGGAUGAAGGGAGCUUGCUCCUGGAUUCAGCGGCGGACGGGUGAGUAAUGCCUAGGAAUCUGCCUGGUAGUGGGGGAUAACGUCCGGAAACGGGCGCUAAUACCGCAUACGUCCUGAUGGAGAAAGUGGGGGAUCUUCGGACCUCACGCUAUCAGAUGAGCCUAGGUCGGAUUAGCUAGUUGGUGGGGUAAAGGCCUACCAAGGCGACGAUCCGUAACUGGUCUGAGAGGAUGAUCAGUCACACUGGAACUGAGACACGGUCCAGACUCCUACGGGAGGCAGCAGUGGGGAAUAUUGGACAAUGGGCGAAAGCCUGAUCCAGCCAUGCCGCGUGUGUGAAGAAGGUCUUCGGAUUGUAAAGCACUUUAAGUUGGGAGGAAGGGAAGUAAGUUAAUACCUUGCUGUUUUGACGUUACCAACAGAAUAAGCACCGGCUAACUUCGUG
RNAcentral lists this ribosomal RNA (484 nucleotides) under uncultured bacterium. RNAcentral's name for it is "partial 16S ribosomal RNA". It matches the Rfam family "Bacterial small subunit ribosomal RNA", at positions 30 to 507 of the family's 1533-position model. The record is from RNAcentral.